Molecule: long non-coding RNA, 374 nt
Organism: Siniperca chuatsi (mandarin fish)
Lineage: Eukaryota; Metazoa; Chordata; Actinopteri; Centrarchiformes; Sinipercidae
Exons: 4
Source: RefSeq, a predicted model, not a curated record
CAAACCCUUUUGUCUGACUAAACUGAAGCAGCAGCAGGCAGUUUCCGUGCAACAGCUCCAAUGAACCCACUGUAUGCUACCUGCUGAGUACGAAACUGCAGAAAUGCGGGAGGUGCUUUCCUGCCUUUCACUUUCUGCCCUUCCUCGCCCCAAAUUCGGGCGUGCACAAAGCAGAACCUCCUCACCUUUAACCUCCUCCUCCUCAUCGGCUCUCCCUACAGAUAAUCCCCGGCUAUUUCACUCUGAGAGGCUAAUCAGUUUAAAUACUUUGAUGCAGAUAAUAAGUUGGGGCAACAUAUUUUGUGAAUGUAAGCUCAGUGUCCCAAUAAUUUCACGUGAACUGCAACAACAAUCUUUGCUUCUCCUGUAGAAGC